This 75-nucleotide transfer RNA is filed under the name Labilithrix sp. RNAcentral describes it as "tRNA-Cys". It matches the Rfam family "tRNA". Rfam says of the family: Transfer RNA (tRNA) molecules are approximately 80 nucleotides in length. Their secondary structure includes four short double-helical elements and three loops (D, anti-codon, and T loops). Lineage: Bacteria; Pseudomonadati; Myxococcota; Polyangiales; Labilitrichaceae. The record is from RNAcentral.
GGCGCGGUAGCCAAGUGGUUAGGCAACGGUUUGCAAAACCGUCAUACGUCGGUUCGAAUCCGAUCCGCGCCUCCA